UGACCGCUGGCGGCGUGCCUACUACAUGCACGUCGAGCGAACAGACGAGGAGCUUGCUCCUCUGACGUUAGCGGCGGACGGGUGAGUAACACGUGGAUAACCUACCUAUAAGACUGGGAUAACUUCGGGAAACCGGAGCUAAUACCGGAUAAUAUAUUGAACCGCAUGGUUCAAUAGUGAAAGACGGUUUUGCUGUCACUUAUAGAUGGAUCCGCGCCGCAUUAGCUAGUUGGUAAGGUAACGGCUUACCAAGGCAACGAUGCGUAGCCGACCUGAGAGGGUGAUCGGCCACACUGGAACUGAGACACGGUCCAGACUCCUACGGGAGGCAGCAGUAGGGAAUCUUCCGCAAUGGGCGAAAGCCUGACGGGGCAACGCCGCGUGAGUGAUGAAGGUCUUCGGAUCGUAAAACUCUGUUAUUAGGGAAGAACAAAUGUGUAAGUAACUAUGCACGUCUUGACGGUACCUAAUCAGAAAGCCACGGCUAACUACGUG
This 495-nucleotide ribosomal RNA is filed under the name uncultured bacterium. RNAcentral describes it as "partial 16S ribosomal RNA". It matches the Rfam family "Bacterial small subunit ribosomal RNA", at positions 30 to 507 of the family's 1533-position model. The record is from RNAcentral.